This 253-nucleotide ribosomal RNA is filed under the name uncultured bacterium. RNAcentral describes it as "partial 16S ribosomal RNA". It matches the Rfam family "Bacterial small subunit ribosomal RNA", at positions 524 to 776 of the family's 1533-position model. The record is from RNAcentral.
UACGGAGGGUGCAAACGUUGCUCGGAAUCAUUGGGCGUAAAGCGCACGUAGGCGGUUCGAUAAGUCGGAUGUGAAAGCCCUCGGCUCAGCCAAGGAAGUGCAUUCGAAACUGUCGGACUUGAGUACGGGAGGGGGUUGCGGAAUUCCCGGUGUAGAGGUGAAAUUCGUAGAUAUCGGGAGGAACACCAGUGGCGAAGGCGGCAACCUGGACCGAUACUGACGCUGAGGUGCGAAAGCGUGGGGAGCAAACAGG